GAUGAACGCUGGCGGCGUGCCUAAUACAUGCAAGUCGAGCGAACAGACGAGGAGCUUGCUCCUCUGACGUUAGCGGCGGACGGGUGAGUAACACGUGGAUAACCUACCUAUAAGACUGGGAUAACUUCGGGAAACCGGAGCUAAUACCGGAUAAUAUAUUGAACCGCAUGGUUCAAUAGUGAAAGACGGUUUUGCUGUCACUUAUAGAUGGAUCCGCGCCGCAUUAGCUAGUUGGUAAGGUAACGGCUUACCAAGGCGACGAUGCGUAGCCGACCUGAGAGGGUGAUCGGCCACACUGGAACUGAGACACGGUCCAGACUCCUACGGGAGGCAGCAGUAGGGAAUCUGCCGCAAUGGGCGAAAGCUUGACGGAGCAACGCCGCGUGAGUGAUGAAGGUCUUCGGAUCGUAAAACUCUGUUAUUAGGGAAGAACAAAUGUGUAAGUAACUAUGCACGUCUUGACGGUACCUAAUCAGAAAGCCACGGCUAACUACGUG
Molecule: ribosomal RNA, 497 nt
Filed under: uncultured bacterium
Lineage: Bacteria
Description: partial 16S ribosomal RNA
Rfam family: Bacterial small subunit ribosomal RNA
Source: RNAcentral